UACGUAGGGGGGCAAGCGUUGUCCGGAUUUAUUGGGCGUAAAGAGCGUGUAGGCGGCCAGACAGGUCCGUUGUGAAAACUCGAGGCUCAACCUCGAGAUGUCGAUGGAAACCGUCUGGCUGGAGUCCGGAAGAGGAGUGUGGAAUUCCUGGUGUAGCGGUGAAAUGCGCAGAUAUCAGGAAGAACACCUAUGGCGAAGGCAGCACUCUGGGACGGUACUGACGCUGAGACGCGAAAGCGUGGGGAGCGAACAGG
Molecule: ribosomal RNA, 254 nt
Filed under: uncultured bacterium
Lineage: Bacteria
Description: partial 16S ribosomal RNA
Rfam family: Bacterial small subunit ribosomal RNA
Source: RNAcentral